UAUUUGAUGACUGUAACGAAGUGUUGCGCACAUGGGUCAUUUUCAGCC
RNAcentral lists this non-coding RNA (48 nucleotides) under unclassified sequences. Its description in RNAcentral is "ssnA RNA". It matches the Rfam family "ssnA RNA". The record is from RNAcentral.